AACUCUCAACCCCCUUGUUUUGUAAUGAAGCAGGCGUGGGCUUGGAUUAUGGCUGUCUGCUGGACUCUUUAAGUAGAGAUCGGCUCGGCUGAAAUACACGAGUAACCCAGUUUGAAUAUUAACGGCUUGACUCGGCGUAAUAACUAUUACCGCUGAGGACGUCUACUUUUCAAAUCGUUAGUGGUGCUUCUAAUGCAUUUAAAACCUUAAGC
This 212-nucleotide unclassified non-coding RNA is filed under the name uncultured Erythrobasidiales. Its description in RNAcentral is "sequence contains ITS2". The record is from RNAcentral. Lineage: Eukaryota; Fungi; Basidiomycota; Cystobasidiomycetes; Erythrobasidiales.